RNAcentral lists this long non-coding RNA (217 nucleotides) under Bos taurus (domestic cattle). Its description in RNAcentral is "long non-coding RNA NONBTAT018468". The record is from RNAcentral. Lineage: Eukaryota; Metazoa; Chordata; Mammalia; Artiodactyla; Bovidae.
GUUACAGGAGAACCUUGAACAUACUGUUUGAGAUAAUUCAGUUAAUAAUGAAUUGUGAUGAACUGAGAACUAUAAAAUAGUGUGAAUGGGAGACACAGUGAUGUUACUAUAAGAAAGUUGUAGAAGGUGGAGGAUACAAUGAUGAGGAUAAGGAUGAAGAUGAGGAAAAGAAAGAGAAGAAAGAAAACCUCAAAGUCAAUAAAACUUUAGUAAUUUU